RNAcentral lists this ribosomal RNA (118 nucleotides) under Pteropus vampyrus (large flying fox). The record is from RNAcentral. Lineage: Eukaryota; Metazoa; Chordata; Mammalia; Chiroptera; Pteropodidae.
GUCUACGGCCACGCCACCCUGAAUGAGCCCAAUCUUGUCUGUCUCGGAAGCUAAGCGGGGUCGGGCCUGGUUAGUACUUGGAUGGGAGAUCACUUAGGAAUAUCAGGUGCUGUAGGCG